AAUGGGCGAAAGCCUGAUGCAGCAACGCCGCGUGAAGGAUGAAGGGUUUCGGCUCGUAAACUUCUAUCAAUAGGGACGAAAAAAAUGACGGUACCUAAAUAAGAAGCCCCGGCUAACUACGUGCCAGCAGCCGCGGUAAUACGUAGGGGGCAAGCGUUAUCCGGAAUUACUGGGUGUAAAGGGAGAGUAGGCGGCAUGGUAAGUUAGAUGUGAAAGCCCGGGGCUUAACCUCGGGAUUGCAUUUAAAACUAUCAAGCUAGAGUACAGGAGAGGUAAGUGGAAUUCCUAGUGUAGCGGUGAAAUGCGUAGAUAUUAGGAAGAACAUCAGUGGCGAAGGCGACUUACUGGACUGAAACUGACGCUGAGGCUCGAAAGCGUGGGGAGCGAA
This 388-nucleotide ribosomal RNA is filed under the name uncultured bacterium. RNAcentral's name for it is "bacterial SSU rRNA". It matches the Rfam family "Bacterial small subunit ribosomal RNA", at positions 370 to 772 of the family's 1533-position model. The record is from RNAcentral.